RNAcentral lists this long non-coding RNA (1541 nucleotides) under Anser cygnoides (Swan goose). RNAcentral's name for it is "lncRNA (ENSACDG00005000984.1)". The record is from RNAcentral. Lineage: Eukaryota; Metazoa; Chordata; Aves; Anseriformes; Anatidae.
CCCCACCACCCCGAGCUGCUGGGCAGGCAGCAGGGUGCUGAGGGGCACCGCCGCUGGGACAGGGCCGGGUGCCAGGAGGUGGGUGCCAGGAGGUGGGUGUCAGGAGGUGGGUGCCACGGCUGCCACUCCUGGAGCUGCCGCCUGGGCUCCCAGGAAGGUCCGGCACUCGUACCCCACCCGGCGGCUCUGCCGAUCGCUGCACAGUAAUCAAUAACUUGCUGUUUAAACAAACUGGCUUUCUGUUCCACUUAGAGUCAUUUCCCUCGUGUUUCACUCAGCGCUCCAUCCACAAUUUUACGUGUUUAGCAAACUAUGUGCUCCUUGCUGCUUGUGCUAAUCACUCGGCUGCUAGCAGCACGCCUGUGUGGAAGCGCGCUCUGAUGUGAGCUAUUUCUGUGAGCCUGACUCACUUUUGUUAGCGCCUUUUUCAUUUGAGACCCUGUCUGGAGAAUUGCCAUCCCAGAGCUCUCUGCCUGGAGUGAGCAAUUAUUGACAGUACACAGGGAGAGGAGAGUUUUAAAGGUGGCAAGGCUCGUAAUGAAUAUUUUAACUGCUUUGCUGGACUAAAUUCAGCUUUCACGAAACAGACUGGAACCAGUGGCCCGGUACCAAAUGAGAACGGGCAUGGAGCAUACCCGAUACCAUAAUGUCCCAACAGUGCAUUUUUAAAGAAAACUGCUCUUCAGCAGGACAAGCUGUGCCGUCGGAUUGCCGCCCCUGCCCGGCUUCCAGGCACGCUGCUGCCAGGGCUGCCUCCCACGGCCUGGGGCUCGGCACCGUGCCACCAGAUGUCAGGAGUGAAAGGAGAACAAGAAAACCUUCCUCUGACAGCAUCAUGAAACGAAGACGAAAACCUCCUAGAAGUGCUAAAAGCCAAAAGUGCCUGGAAAUGCCUGCCUGGGCUGGGCUGCUCUCCGGGACAGCCGUCCCCGUGCUGCCCGCAGCCACGGCCCCAUGGUGCAGGGACAGGAUCCUCAUCCAGCACCUGGCAGGAGCAGGGUGCUGAGCAGCCCCACUUCUGCAGGGCACGCCAGGUCAUGCAGGGAGAUCAGUCUGUGGAGACAGCCCUGGAAAGGCUCAGAGUUUCCAUUUGUCAUUUUAAGUAUUAAAAGUAGUGUUUUUCUUCAAAUGCAGUCUUACAAGUUAUUCAUUUUAAUUUGGUACAUCCUUGAAGGUGAAUUUAAUACCAUUCAUACAUUUUCAUUUAUAAAUUUGUCAGUAAUAAGAGUGUUGGCACAUGGGAGAAAGUAACUGCAUAAUUGCAACUUACACGCUUGUCUUACUGAAAAACUGCUAGCUCAGGAAUCGUCUGCGCCUGUGCGUCAUGCAUGAAAUUGCAAAUAGAAUUUAAUUUGCCCUUGUAUCCUGUAGGAUCAGCUUAAAAUGAUUAAUGCAGGAGGGAAUGUUGUCAAGAUUUUAUUCAUUACAAUCUCAGAGGACUGCAGUGCAAAACUAUCAUGUAUAACAUGAUCAUGUAUAAAACACAGCUUUCUAAACUGCUUUCUUGUAAUAAACAGUCACAUUUCUACUCUGUAAUUUCA